This 70-nucleotide transfer RNA is filed under the name Pachydactylus rangei. RNAcentral's name for it is "tRNA-Ala". The record is from RNAcentral. Lineage: Eukaryota; Metazoa; Chordata; Lepidosauria; Squamata; Gekkonidae.
UAAGGCCUUAGCUUAAUUAAAGCGGUUGAGUUGCAGUCAGUAGAUGCGGACUAAAGUUUUGCAGGUCUUU